Molecule: ribosomal RNA, 460 nt
Filed under: uncultured bacterium
Lineage: Bacteria
Description: partial 16S ribosomal RNA
Rfam family: Bacterial small subunit ribosomal RNA
Source: RNAcentral
CCUACGGGAGACAGCAGUGAGGAAUAUUGGUCAAUGGGCGUAAGCCUGAACCAGCCAAGUCGCGUGAGGGAUGAAGGUUCUAUGGAUCGUAAACCUCUUUUAUAAGGGAAUAAAGUGUGGGACGUGCCCUGUUUUGUAUGUACCUUAUGAAUAAGGAUCGGCUAACUCCGUGCCAGCAGCCGCGGUAAUACGGAGGAUCCGAGCGUUAUCCGGAUUUAUUGGGUUUAAAGGGUGCGUAGGCGGCCUUUUAAGUCAGCGGUGAAAGUCUGUGGCUCAACCAUAGAAUUGCCGUUGAAACUGGGAGGCUUGAGUAUGUUUGAGGCAGGCGGAAUGCGUGGUGUAGCGGUGAAAUGCUUAGAUAGCACGCAGAACCCCGAUUGCGAAGGCAGCCUGCCAAGCCAUGACUGACGCUGAUGCACGAAAGCGUGGGGAUCAAACAGGAUUAGAUACCCCAGUAGUC